CAGGACACACGCUCCUGGCUUGUGGCUGUUUCUAUGGUUUUGGAGGUCUUGCAGGACAAGCUCCUUCCAGAUCAACCCAUGUUCCAGAACGUACUGCCAUGAGUUGGCGUAAAACCUACGUGGGGCACAGCCUGAUCUCAUCACCAGGACAUCUCAACCCCAUCCAGCUGGUGUUGGUCAGGGAAGAUCUCCAGCAGAGGCAGUUACUGGGAGAAGACAAUAUGCAUGCAGCCAUGAACCACACACAAGAACUCAAGGAAUUCACUAAUGCCUGGCUGGGUGUGCAACCAAGAGGGGGUGAAUAAUGGUAGAGAUAGAUGACAACAAUGGGCCAAAUCUGCCCUGACAUGAAUCUGCUUCAAUCCUGUUAAUGUUGGAGGAACUGUGGGGAGUCUAAAUUGGAGGAAAGUAUGAUCUCCAUCCAGUCCUAUUUCAAUGUCUGCUUUCUCUGAAGAUAAUGAGAUACAAGAGCACCAGCCACUGUAUGGAGUUACUCUCAAAUCAACAAUAAACAAAAAAUAGUUAAGUAAACUUACGUCUUUCUUUUAACACAGGAUCACACAUGCCUGUGUAAACUUAACUCAUCACUGACACAUUUAUAAGCAAGAAAUGGGGUGGUUUCGUUCCUCCUUGAUGACUUUGAAGACUGAAUUUGAGACCUCAGCUUAAGAAAAACACGGAUCUUUGUGCUAAAAUCUUAGCUCUGUUAUCUCAAAGCCACGAAGACAGAAAAGCUACAGUGAAACAGGACCUGAACAUGAG
This 762-nucleotide long non-coding RNA is filed under the name Gallus gallus (chicken). RNAcentral describes it as "lncRNA (ENSGALG00010004513.1)". Lineage: Eukaryota; Metazoa; Chordata; Aves; Galliformes; Phasianidae. The record is from RNAcentral.